Molecule: long non-coding RNA, 255 nt
Filed under: Brassica napus (rape)
Lineage: Eukaryota; Viridiplantae; Streptophyta; Magnoliopsida; Brassicales; Brassicaceae
Description: long non-coding RNA (BNAP_LNC018068)
Source: RNAcentral
UUUUAGAGGUAUUUCUUAUUUAUACUUCUGUUUUAAUUCCUGUUUGGGAUUGCGCUAGGCGCUGUACGUGCAGCCAGAUGGAACCUAGCGCCGAAUCAAUUAUGCGGGGAUUAUAGGGGGAUUAAUCAGAGCUUAGUUUUAGGGUGUUUAUAUUAGUUAUCGGAUAGAUAUUAUAUAUGGUAUAUGAGUACAAGAGAUGUUGAGUUGGUUCAGUGGCUUAGACGCUUAGUUUGAGUUGUAGGUGACGGGUUCAAA